GACGAACGCUGGCGGCGUGCCUAAUACAUGCAAGUCGAGCGGACGAAUCGAAAGCUUGCUUUUGAUUCGUUAGCGGCGGACGGGUGAGUAACACGUGGGCAACCUGCCCUGUAGACGGGGAUAACACCGAGAAAUCGGUGCUAAUACCGGAUAACACGAAAUGUCGCAUGACGUUUCGUUGAAAGACGGCGCAAGCUGUCGCUACAGGAUGGGCCCGCGGCGCAUUAGCUAGUUGGUGAGGUAACGGCUCACCAAGGCGACGAUGCGUAGCCGACCUGAGAGGGUGAUCGGCCACACUGGGACUGAGACACGGCCCAGACUCCUACGGGAGGCAGCAGUAGGGAAUCUUCCGCAAAGGACGAAAGUCUGACGGAGCAACGCCGCGUGAGUGAAGAAGGCCUUCGGGUCGUAAAGCUCUGUUGUUAGGGAAGAACAAGUAACGCAGUAACUGGCGUUACCGUGACGGUACCUAACGAGAAAGCCACGGCUAACUACGUG
RNAcentral lists this ribosomal RNA (498 nucleotides) under uncultured bacterium. RNAcentral describes it as "partial 16S ribosomal RNA". It matches the Rfam family "Bacterial small subunit ribosomal RNA", at positions 28 to 507 of the family's 1533-position model. The record is from RNAcentral.